UAGAUCCCACCCCUCUCAUCCUCGCAAGGAUAUCAUUCCAGCAAUUCCUAAUCUCCCCGAAAUCCUGGAUUAAAUCCAUUUCACCUGCCUUCACUAAUCAAGGUCAAGUUAAGACCUAUCUGCCAAGAAGCACGAAGCCUAAACGAGAUGUUUGCCUGAGUUAUUUUCCAGAAGCUUGGAGUCCCCUCUGCCUAAUCGGAGCUGAGUGGGUUAAAUUUGGAUAGAACCACCGACCCUCUAACUGCAGGUGCGUGGGUGUCCACUCUGUGACCUUUUGACGUCAAAUGGCCCCAAAUCCCACCCCUCCAAACAUGCAGAGGCUGUAGCUGAGUGACACCUGUGCAGGGCAAGCACCGCACUUUUUCCAAUAGCCUUCCCCCACGCCACCUGCGCUGGCCACGCCUCCGGCCUCCCCACAUCAUUAUUAGCCCAUAAAUACCCCAGCCCCUGGCCUGCAGAAGGAUGGAUUUAAGGCUUCUUUCGUCUUCUCGUCUGGCUGCCUUGCAAGUGGAAGUCAGAGGGUCUGCCCUGUAUGCUGAGCAGAGCCUGGAACCGCCACUCCUCACCAGUAUCUUUGUCACACGCUUAUUCAACUCGGAACCACACCCUGCAAGAGCAAGGGGAAUGUCUUUGCUGGUUUCUGACCUCCGUCCACUAUUUCCUAAGUUCUUGUAGAACAGGACUUACAGAGGAAGAGAGUCCAUGGUCUAUCUACUUUGGAAAAUGCAGGUCUGACAGCCCUGCCAGUGUCAGCAGUCCCCCACCCCAUGCCCAUGAGUGCCCUGCUCUCGGAGGCCACUGAGCCUCAGGGCCUGCUGUUGCCUCUCUUAAUAUCACCCUGCCCCUCUGUGUCCUCUUACUUCCUACUUGUCUCCUGAGCUCAGCUUGAGACCCCUCAGGAUUCAGUGUGUACCCCAAAUUAAAUUCCCCAUGGAAGGAGACAGGAGGAUAAUCUGUACAAAUCUUUAGCAGAUAUAUUUUUCCAAGCUCAACCUACAGUUCCGGCAGUAUGUUUUUGGACCCUGAGACCAGUGAAAAGGGAAUUUUCAGAUUUCAAAAUCCAUUUAACGGUGCCAUUGAGAUGCUCUCUGCUGCUUUCAACCAGAAGUGAUUAACCUUCAAGGUAAUGACCCAUUAAAAGGAAUCUGCCAAGAGGACAAAAAAACCAGAAUUCUACAAACCACCUUCCAAGCAGUGAAUACGCUCUAUGACAUCACAUUCUCAUGGACUGACCAUCAGUACUGAGCACUACCAAUCUGUGUGAACAAACAUAUUCACAGACAACAUACAGGAAAUCAAUCUCAUUAUAGACAGUAUUUCUGGGUGAACAUUUGCAACCAAUGUGAUAAUGCAGAA
Molecule: long non-coding RNA, 1356 nt
Organism: Sus scrofa (pig)
Lineage: Eukaryota; Metazoa; Chordata; Mammalia; Artiodactyla; Suidae
Source: RefSeq, a predicted model, not a curated record